Molecule: unclassified non-coding RNA, 257 nt
Filed under: Hevea brasiliensis (rubber tree)
Lineage: Eukaryota; Viridiplantae; Streptophyta; Magnoliopsida; Malpighiales; Euphorbiaceae
Source: RNAcentral
GGCAGGGAAAGCCGGCGGCCUCAAGGGCGUCGCCCUCAUCGGCGGCGCCGGCGGCAACAGCGCGGUCGCCGGCGCCCUCCACUUCUUCCAGGACCCCUCCACCGGGUAUACCGAGGUGAGGGGGAGGGUCACCGGCCUCGCUCCGGGCCUCCAUGGCUUCCACAUCCACUCCUUUGGCGACACCACCAACGGCUGCAACUCUACCGGGCCCCAUUUUAAUCCUCACAAUAAGUCCCAUGGGGCACCAUCUGAUGAUG